This is a non-coding RNA of 211 nucleotides. It matches the Rfam family "HNH endonuclease-associated RNA and ORF (HEARO) RNA". The record is from Rfam.
GCUAUCCACCAAACAGCAGACAAGAGUGGACAACCACUUCCAAGGCUGGAGAGAUAGCCAGCCUCAGUUACAAACUACGUUUCGAGGGUCAUGACACCUACAGGUGCUUUCCAGCUUGUAGCCCUGUCGUCAAUAGUUAAACAUCCCUAUUUGGUUAAGGAAGUGCGAUUGGCAUAACAAGCCCUCAAAACAUUGGCGAGGAAAACAUUAC